Molecule: long non-coding RNA, 239 nt
Organism: Odocoileus virginianus texanus
Lineage: Eukaryota; Metazoa; Chordata; Mammalia; Artiodactyla; Cervidae
Source: RefSeq, a predicted model, not a curated record
AAGUACCUUUACCUACACACAUUGACUUUUGGAUAUCUUCUGUGAAGAACCUGCCUGCUUUCUUGCAGACUUUAAAAAGAAACACAGGAUCCGUGAGUGCAGCGCAGCAGAACACAAUAAAACCUGAAGUGUGCCUGAACGGAGAGUCGAGCGCUCUCAGAGCGCUGCUUCAGCUGCAUCAACAAGCUCGGAUGUAAUCUGUUGGUUAUUUUUCAGAUAAAAAUGUUUUCUAAUAUUCA